AAAAGAUUAAGUUAUUAAGGGCGCACGGUGGAUGCCUUGGCACUAGAAGCCGAUGAAGGACGUUACUAACGACGAUAUGCUUUGGGGAGCUGUAAGUAAGCUUUGAUCCAGAGAUUUCCGAAUGGGGAAACCCAGCAUGAGUUAUGUCAUGUUAUCGAUAUGUGAAUACAUAGCAUAUCUGAAGGUAGACGCGGAGAACUGAAACAUCUUAGUACCCGCAGGAAGAGAAAGAAAAAUCGAUUCCCUGAGUAGCGGCGAGCGAAACGGGAAGAGCCCAAACCAACGAGCUUGCUUGUUGGGGUUGUAGGACACUCUAUACGGAGUUACAAAAGAAUAAACUAGACGAAUCAUCUGGAAAGAUGAAUCAAAGAAGGUAAUAAUCCUGUAGUCGAAAGUUUAUUCACUCUUGAGUGGAUCCUGAGUACGACGGAACACGAGAAAUUCCGUCGGAAUCCGGGAGGACCAUCUCCCAAGGCUAAAUACUCUCUAGUGACCGAUAGUGAACCAGUACCGUGAGGGAAAGGUGAAAAGUACCCCGGAAGGGGAGUGAAAUAGAACUUGAAACCGUGUGCUUACAAGUAGUCAGAGCCCGUUAAUGGGUGAUGGCGUGCCUUUUGUAGAAUGAACCGGCGAGUUACGAUUUGAUGCAAGGUUAAGCAGUGAAUGUGGAGCCGUAGCGAAAGCGAGUCUGAAUAGGGCGUUGAGUAUUUGGUCGUAGACCCGAAACCAGGUGAUCUACCCAUGACCAGGUUGAAGUUCAGGUAACACUGAAUGGAGGACCGAACCGACUUACGUUGAAAAGUGAGCGGAUGAGUUGUGGGUAGCGGAGAAAUUCCAAUCGAACCUGGAGAUAGCUGGUUCUCUCCGAAAUAGCUUUAGGGCUAGCCUCAAGUGAUGAUUAUUGGAGGUAGAGCACUGUUUGGACGAGGGGCCCUUAUCGGGUUACCGAAUUCAGACAAACUCCGAAUGCCAAUCAAUUUAACUUGGGAGUUAGAACGCGGGUGAUAAGGUCCGUGUUCGAAAGGGAAACAGCCCAGACCACCAGCUAAGGUCCCAAAAUAUAUGUUAAGUGGAAAAGGAUGUGGCGUUGCCCAGACAACUAGGAUGUUGGCUUAGAAGCAGCCAUCAUUUAAAGAGUGCGUAAUAGCUCACUAGUCGAGUGACACUGCGCCGAAAAUGUACCGGGGCUAAACAUAUUACCGAAGCUGUGGAUUGUCCGUAAGGACAAUGGUAGGAGAGCGUUCUAAGGGCGUUGAAGCAUGAUCGCAAGGACAUGUGGAGCGCUUAGAAGUGAGAAUGCCGGUGUGAGUAGCGAAAGACGGGUGAGAAUCCCGUCCACCGAUUGACUAAGGUUUCCAGAGGAAGGCUCGUCCGCUCUGGGUUAGUCGGGUCCUAAGCUGAGGCCGAUAGGCGUAGGCGAUGGAUAACAGGUUGAUAUUCCUGUACCACCAUAAUUCGUUUUAAGCGAUGGGGGGACGCAGUAGGAUAGGCGAAGCGUACUAUUGGAUUGUACGUCCAAGCAGUAAGACUGAGUGUUAGGCAAAUCCGGCACUCUUAAGGUCAAGCUGUGAUGGGGAGAGGAAAUUGUUUCCUCGAGUCGUUGAUUUCACACUGCCAAGAAAAGCCUCUAGCUAGAAUUGUGGUGCCCGUACCGCAAACCGACACAGGUAGUCAAGAUGAGAAUUCUAAGGUGAGCGAGCGAACUCUCGUUAAGGAACUCGGCAAAAUGACCCCGUAACUUCGGGAGAAGGGGUGCUCUUUAGGGUUAACGCCCAGGAGAGCCGCAGUGAAUAGGCCCAAGCGACUGUUUAUCAAAAACACAGGUCUCUGCUAAACCGUAAGGUGAUGUAUAGGGGCUGACGCCUGCCCGGUGCUGGAAGGUUAAGAGGAGUGGUUAGCUUCUGCGAAGCUACGAAUCGAAGCCCCAGUAAACGGCGGCCGUAACUAUAACGGUCCUAAGGUAGCGAAAUUCCUUGU
Molecule: ribosomal RNA, 1977 nt
Filed under: Listeria monocytogenes
Lineage: Bacteria; Bacillati; Bacillota; Bacilli; Caryophanales; Listeriaceae
Description: bacterial LSU rRNA
Rfam family: Bacterial large subunit ribosomal RNA
Source: RNAcentral